AUUGAACGCUGGCGGCAUGCCUUACACAUGCAAGUCGAACGGCAGCACGGGAGCAAUCCUGGUGGCGAGUGGCGAACGGGUGAGUAAUAUAGUCGGAACGUGCCCAGUCGUGGGGAUAACGUAGCGAAAGCUACGCUAAUACCGCAUACGAUCUAUGGAUGAAAGCGGGGGAUCGCAAGACCUCGCGCGAUUGGAGCGGCCGAUAUCAGAUUAGGUAGUUGGUGAGGUAAAGGCUCACCAAGCCGACGAUCUGUAGCUGGUCUGAGAGGACGACCAGCCACACUGGGACUGAGACACGGCCCAGACUCCUACGGGAGGCAGCAGUGGGGAAUUUUGGACAAUGGGCGCAAGCCUGAUCCAGCAAUGCCGCGUGCAGGAUGAAGGCCUUC
RNAcentral lists this ribosomal RNA (389 nucleotides) under uncultured bacterium. RNAcentral describes it as "bacterial SSU rRNA". It matches the Rfam family "Bacterial small subunit ribosomal RNA", at positions 30 to 419 of the family's 1533-position model. The record is from RNAcentral.